CCAAUAGCGUAUAUUAAAGUUGUUGCAGUUAAAAAGCUCGUAGUUGAAUUUCGGGGUUAGUAGGUUGGUCAUGCCUCUGGUAUGUACUGGUCUCACUGAUUCCUCCUUCCUGAUGAGCCGUAAUGCCAUUAAUUUGGUGUUGCGGGGAAUUUGGACUGUUACUUUGAAAAAAUUAGAGUGUUUAAAGCAGGCUCACGCUUGAAUACAUUAGCAUGGAAUAAUGAAAUAGGACGUUUGAUUCUAUUUUGUUGGUUUCUAGGAUCGACGUAAUGAUUAAUAGGGAUAGUUGGGGGCAUUAGUAUUCAAUUGUCAGAGGUGAAAUUCUUGGAUUUAUUGAAGACUAACUACUGCGAAAGCAUUUGCCAAGGAUGUUUUCAUUAAUCAAGAACGAAAGUUAGGGGAUCGAAGACGAUCAGAUACCGUCGUAGUCUUAACCAUAAACUAUGCCGACUAGGGAUCGGAUGAUGUUAAUUUUUUAAUGACUCAUUCGGCGCCUUACG
RNAcentral lists this ribosomal RNA (500 nucleotides) under uncultured Glomeromycotina. Its description in RNAcentral is "SSU rRNA". It matches the Rfam family "Eukaryotic small subunit ribosomal RNA", at positions 591 to 1092 of the family's 1831-position model. Lineage: Eukaryota; Fungi; Glomeromycota. The record is from RNAcentral.